RNAcentral lists this ribosomal RNA (1856 nucleotides) under Salmonella enterica subsp. enterica serovar Poona. RNAcentral's name for it is "partial 23S ribosomal RNA". It matches the Rfam family "Bacterial large subunit ribosomal RNA", at positions 1103 to 2925 of the family's 2925-position model. The record is from RNAcentral. Lineage: Bacteria; Pseudomonadati; Pseudomonadota; Gammaproteobacteria; Enterobacterales; Enterobacteriaceae.
GGCUUAGAAGCAGCCAUCAUUUAAAGAAAGCGUAAUAGCUCACUGGUCGAGUCGGCCUGCGCGGAAGAUGUAACGGGGCUAAACCAUGCACCGAAGCUGCGGCAGCGACACUAUGUGUUGUUGGGUAGGGGAGCGUUCUGUAAGCCUGUGAAGGUGGCCUGUGAGGGUUGCUGGAGGUAUCAGAAGUGCGAAUGCUGACAUAAGUAACGAUAAAGCGGGUGAAAAGCCCGCUCGCCGGAAGACCAAGGGUUCCUGUCCAACGUUAAUCGGGGCAGGGUGAGUCGACCCCUAAGGCGAGGCCGAAAGGCGUAGUCGAUGGGAAACGGGUUAAUAUUCCCGUACUUGGUGUUACUGCGAAGGGGGGACGGAGAAGGCUAUGUUGGCCGGGCGACGGUUGUCCCGGUUUAAGCGUGUAGGUGUGUGUUCCAGGUAAAUCCGGUUCACUUUAACACUGAGGCGUGAUGACGAGGCACUACGGUGCUGAAGCAACAAAUGCCCUGCUUCCAGGAAAAGCCUCUAAGCAUCAGGUAACAUCAAAUCGUACCCCAAACCGACACAGGUGGUCAGGUAGAGAAUACCAAGGCGCUUGAGAGAACUCGGGUGAAGGAACUAGGCAAAAUGGUGCCGUAACUUCGGGAGAAGGCACGCUGACAUGUAGGUGAAGUGAUUUACUCAUGGAGCUGAAGUCAGUCGAAGAUACCAGCUGGCUGCAACUGUUUAUUAAAAACACAGCACUGUGCAAACACGAAAGUGGACGUAUACGGUGUGACGCCUGCCCGGUGCCGGAAGGUUAAUUGAUGGGGUCAGCGCAAGCGAAGCUCCUGAUCGAAGCCCCGGUAAACGGCGGCCGUAACUAUAACGGUCCUAAGGUAGCGAAAUUCCUUGUCGGGUAAGUUCCGACCUGCACGAAUGGCGUAAUGAUGGCCAGGCUGUCUCCACCCGAGACUCAGUGAAAUUGAACUCGCUGUGAAGAUGCAGUGUACCCGCGGCAAGACGGAAAGACCCCGUGAACCUUUACUAUAGCUUGACACUGAACAUUGAGCCUUGAUGUGUAGGAUAGGUGGGAGGCUUUGAAGUGUGGACGCCAGUCUGCAUGGAGCCGACCUUGAAAUACCACCCUUUAAUGUUUGAUGUUCUAACGUGGACCCGUAAUCCGGGUUGCGGACAGUGUCUGGUGGGUAGUUUGACUGGGGCGGUCUCCUCCUAAAGAGUAACGGAGGAGCACGAAGGUUGGCUAAUCCUGGUCGGACAUCAGGAGGUUAGUGCAAUGGCAUAAGCCAGCUUGACUGCGAGCGUGACGGCGCGAGCAGGUGCGAAAGCAGGUCAUAGUGAUCCGGUGGUUCUGAAUGGAAGGGCCAUCGCUCAACGGAUAAAAGGUACUCCGGGGAUAACAGGCUGAUACCGCCCAAGAGUUCAUAUCGACGGCGGUGUUUGGCACCUCGAUGUCGGCUCAUCACAUCCUGGGGCUGAAGUAGGUCCCAAGGGUAUGGCUGUUCGCCAUUUAAAGUGGUACGCGAGCUGGGUUUAGAACGUCGUGAGACAGUUCGGUCCCUAUCUGCCGUGGGCGCUGGAGAACUGAGGGGGGCUGCUCCUAGUACGAGAGGACCGGAGUGGACGCAUCACUGGUGUUCGGGUUGUCAUGCCAAUGGCACUGCCCGGUAGCUAAAUGCGGAAGAGAUAAGUGCUGAAAGCAUCUAAGCACGAAACUUGCCCCGAGAUGAGUUCUCCCUGAGACUUUAAGUCUCCUGAAGGAACGUUGAAGACGACGACGUUGAUAGGCCGGGUGUGUAAGCGCAGCGAUGCGUUGAGCUAACCGGUACUAAUGAACCGUGAGGCUUAACCUUACAACGCCGAAG